This is a long non-coding RNA of Sapajus apella (tufted capuchin), 2761 nucleotides long. RefSeq lists it as uncharacterized. The transcript has 5 exons. Lineage: Eukaryota; Metazoa; Chordata; Mammalia; Primates; Cebidae. The record is from RefSeq and is a predicted model, not a curated record.
CACAUACACACACAUAUAUAUAGAGUCAAACUAGGCUAGCAGUGAAGACUUUUCUUUUGCUGUUUUGCUGGUUUUUUUUCAGUCAUGUGUAUGAGAAACAGGGCAGUAACUCUGGCCCACUUCUCUGACAGGUCCUCCUGUUGUUAAUGCUGAGAAACUCCAGGAGCCUGCUAUUUGGAGAGAGAAAUGUGUUCCAGCUGCUGGUGCUAACAAAGAUCUGAGAAAAGUGUAGAGUUAUUUUGAGCUCCUGGGGUAAGAUGGUAGAAUGCAGAGAAACUAGAAAAUACCUACAUUUCUCUAUAGCAAGCUCUGUAUAUCUGGAUUUGACAGUAAGAACUUGGUUGACUGAUAAUUGAUGGCAACUGAGCAGUGACAUAAGAGAACACAGAGCCACACGUCAAAAGUGCCUGAACACAGAUACAGAUAGUAUCUGCAUGAAAUAUUUGACACAAAGUAAUUUACACUAUUUUAUACAUUUUCUCCCCAUUGGCUGUUUCUCAGGCUUGUUUUGUUUUUAGGGUAUAUACCUUCUUGGAAGAAAACCAUGCAAUGGUUUAGAAUGAGAAAGGGAUUUUAUAACAGUAAAGAAGGCAUUAUCCUGAUUUAUUAAAAUUUAAAAAUAAAUUGUAAGUUGUAUAAUAUGGAUGAUUGAAUAUGGACCUGGGAAGCAGUUUCCGUAAAUAACUUUUAAUGACAUUGAUAUUAUGACUAUUGGUGAGAUACUAUAUUCUGCAGACAUUUUUCUCUCUCCAACAUUGGAGAUGACAGAAUCUUCUUUACAUCUUCCCCUCUGAGACUACUUGUAAGACCAAAGGUGGUUGGUGCUUAUUUAAUGCACUGAGCUCUUUUGUAGGGCACAUUUAAAUCACUAUUUUGAUUUAAUUCUGAAUCAACUUUAUUCUUGAACUGGGAAAUUAAUUUCGACAUGAACUUGCAAAUACUCCAGUGCUUCACUCCCAAUUCGUGUUUUAGCAUCCUUCACUGGAGCAGGAAGCAGAGACAAGCUGUUGCCAUGAGUUUGUUUCAAGAGCCCAGAAAUCCUCCAGGGACUCCUUUAUUACUGCUUUUCAAAGAGGCCUUUUUUCCUCUCUUCUCCUUUUCCUGAAAAGAGGGUUAUAUCCAGUACUCAAGGACAUGGUAAGGCCAACAAGGACUGAAUCUCUAGGACUAUGAUCUCUUGAAUUGUGAAAUGUGACAUUCUUGUUGCUAGCCUGCCUUUCUUCCCACUCCGCCAAAUUAUAAUACUUCUUUUCAUUCUGCAGUUUUGUAUAAUUUUACUGUACAAUAAAAAUCAUCUUUUCAUUUUUAAAGAAUUAUACUCCCAGAUCAAUGGGCAUUUGUUUUGUUUUAAGUCGUCUGAGUAAAGAUUCAUCAAAUUAUCAUUAAAGUAACAUUUUUGGACUAUCUAUUCCAAGAUCUUAAUUGACAUAAAAAUUUCCUAAUUAAUGGGCACCAAAAAAUGUCUUAAUCUAUCAAUAAAGUUACCUUUUACUUCAAAUAUAUCAUGCUUAAAUUUUUUUUCCUCUGUAAGGUAGGAGCAAAAGAUAAAAUAUCUUUUAAACAGUUUAAAAAAGCCUGUAUUGACACUACUACUAAUUAUAGAUAUGGAUGUAGGUCCAAAAUUAGUACAUGGAUUUGAUAUAUUUUCAGUAAAGUUAGGAAUAAAAAUAACAUCACAUAUUUCAUUUUAUUUGAGGUAGCUAAGAAUAGCCAUUUUACUUUAGAAACUUCAACAAAAGGAAGCUUUUCAACUUCACAUUCUUAGGGAAAUAUAACUGUCCUGUUUCAUAGAGGACAUGGAGUAAGAGAAAAUAAGCUAGGUUUUUAAGGAGGCCAAAGGAGGCAGACUUUGUCAAUUAUAUUUAUGUUCAAUCCAAUAGAUCAUAAGGUUUGCCUCUGAAAAGAAUAUUAAUCUCAUUCUACAUGCAUUAUCAACCUCAGGCAUGAGUACAUGCUGUGGGAACAGAAAUAUGUCUGAAGGGAUAUAUGAAAUCACAGAGUAAAUGGAAUCCACAUUCUUGAAGUAGCUACAAUUCUACUUGAGGUUCCAAGGCACGUUGAUCGUACCUACACAUCUCACCAAGGACAUGGAUGCUUCUCUGCUAUCAGCUGAAGCUGCUGUGACCCCAAAACUGAAAAAUCCCAUUCUGAAUCCUUGCCAAUAAAGAAUGUCCAUCAGAGCAGGCCCAGUAUCCUAUCUCCUCAUCCAGAUAGUGUUUCUCAGUAGAGCUGGACAAUGUACAGAUUAGUUAGUCAACUGGCCAGAGUUCCAAGCUAUGUGGUGGCCUAAACAGCAUUGGAAAAAACUGGAAGUGUUGUCCCUCUCAGUCAGAUCAGCUUUCUGCACAUGACUCCUCAGGUAAGUGGUCAAAUGGAAAUUGGCUCCACUUCUGAUUCAAUAGGCUGGUUCUCAGUAAAGAUUUCUUGAAUGUGAAAGUUCUCUCUUUACUGAACUGUUUGCUGGAAAUAAAAAUUGGUUCUUCAGAAAACCAAAUAUCGCAUGUUCUCACUUACAAGUGGGGGCUAAAUGAUGAGAACACGUGAACACAGAGAAGGGAACAACACACCCUGGGACCUGUCAGAGGGUAGAGGAUGGAGGGUAGGAGGAGGGACAGGAUCAGAAAAAAAUCACUAAUGGAUACUAGGCUUAAUACCUGGGUGAUCAAAUAAUUGGUACAGCAAAUCCCUGUGACACAAGUUUACCUAUGUGACCAACCUGUAUAUGUACUACUGAUCUUAAAAUAGAAGUUAAAGUAAAUCA